RNAcentral lists this ribosomal RNA (253 nucleotides) under uncultured bacterium. Its description in RNAcentral is "partial 16S ribosomal RNA". It matches the Rfam family "Bacterial small subunit ribosomal RNA", at positions 524 to 776 of the family's 1533-position model. The record is from RNAcentral.
UACGGAGGGUGCAAGCGUUGUCCGGAAUUAUUGGGCGUAAAGAGCUCGUAGGCGGCUUGUCGCGUCGACUGUGAAAACCCGCGGCUCAACCGCGGGCCUGCAUUCGAUACGGGCAGACUAGAGGUAUGCAGGGGAGAACGGAAUUCCUGGUGUAGCGGUGAAAUGCGCAGAUAUCAGGAGGAACACCGGUGGCGAAGGCGGUUCUCUGGGCAUUACCUGACGCUGAGGAGCGAAAGUGUGGGGAGCGAACAGG